UCAAUCGUUCAAUUGUUGGAUGUCGUAGUUUCCACAAAAAGGAACAUAUCGCUUCUCACAGUUUCCCUAAAGCAAAAAAGACACUGCACACAUUUUGCUCUGUAUCAAAAAUGUGAUCUGGUAUCAAA
Long non-coding RNA from Xenia sp. Carnegie-2017, 128 nucleotides. RefSeq lists it as uncharacterized. The record is from RefSeq and is a predicted model, not a curated record. The transcript has 2 exons. NCBI's taxonomy places the organism in Eukaryota, Metazoa, Cnidaria, Anthozoa, Malacalcyonacea, Xeniidae.